This 373-nucleotide long non-coding RNA is filed under the name Nicotiana benthamiana. RNAcentral's name for it is "long non-coding RNA (NBEN_LNC035959)". The record is from RNAcentral. Lineage: Eukaryota; Viridiplantae; Streptophyta; Magnoliopsida; Solanales; Solanaceae.
UUUUUCCACCGGGAGUUGGUACCUCCCGCUCUCUUGUUUACUUUGUGCACCUUUUUACGUAUUUUAGCUAGCAUUUCGAGUGUGGUCUAUUCUGUUGUGAUCUAGUUUGCUACAUUUGCGUUUUUCGCUAUAGCGCGUGUGUGUGCCACUGUACCCCUUAUCGGUUGGUGGGAUAGUGGCCGCGGCGGGGGAUGAUAGCGUAAGGCCAUGUCCUCAGGGGGUGGGGGUGGUCGCGGGGGUAAGUAGGGGAGCAGGGGUUGGUCCUACGGGCAGGGCGGGAGGUAAGGGUGGGAAGAGGGCAGCGGACGCCCAUAGACUAAGGAUUGGGUCAUGGAACAUAGGCACUCUGACGGGUAAGUCCAUUGAGUUGGCG